RNAcentral lists this long non-coding RNA (244 nucleotides) under Capsella rubella. RNAcentral describes it as "long non-coding RNA (CRUB_LNC001148)". Lineage: Eukaryota; Viridiplantae; Streptophyta; Magnoliopsida; Brassicales; Brassicaceae. The record is from RNAcentral.
UGAAUUUUAAUUGUAUUUUGUAAAAUUAUGUAUUGAAUAUUAUAAAUCUAAAAGGUGUUAUGAAAAAAGCAACCGCCCUUGUUGGUACAUGUUGGAUGGUAGUAUUUCAUUUGUACAAGUCUCCGCUGACUUCGUUAUGCUGUAAAGUAAAAAAAAAACAAAAAACAAAAGAUCACGUGUAAAAAUGUGUCAUAUGCUAACGUUCAGUUUAUUCUGCAUCAUCACCUUCACCAAUAUAUUAAGC